RNAcentral lists this unclassified non-coding RNA (158 nucleotides) under uncultured Xylaria. RNAcentral's name for it is "sequence contains ITS2". The record is from RNAcentral. Lineage: Eukaryota; Fungi; Ascomycota; Sordariomycetes; Xylariales; Xylariaceae.
CAACCCUUAAGCCUCUGUUGCUUAGCGUUGGGGGCCUACCACGGUAGCCCCUGAAAGCCAUUGGCGGAGUCGGUCGCACACUCCGGACGCAGUACAUCUAUUCUCGUCCUGGGUCACGGCCGGUCCCCUGCCGUAAAACACACCAAACUUUUUAAUGG